UGGCUCAGGACGAACGCUGGCGGCGUGCCUAAUACAUGCAAGUCGAACGGUCUUUCUAUGGAAGCUUGCUUCCACUGAGAAGAUAGUGGCGAACGGGUGAGUAACACGUGGGUAACCUGCCCAUAAGAGGGGGAUAACAUCCGGAAACGGGUGCUAAUACCGCAUAGUUUUCUUGAUCGCAUGAUUGAGAAAGGAAAGACGGCCUUUGUGCUGUCGCUUAUGGAUGGACCCGCGGCGUAUUAGUUAGUUGGUGAGGUAACGGCUCACCAAGACGAUGAUACGUAGCCGACCUGAGAGGGUGAUCGGCCACAUUGGGACUGAGACACGGCCCAAACUCCUACGGGAGGCAGCAGUAGGGAAUCUUCCGCAAUGGACGAAAGUCUGACGGAGCAACGCCGCGUGAGUGAAAGAAGGUUUUCGGAUCGUAAAACUCUGUUGUCAGAGAAGAACAAGUUGGAGAGUAACUGCUCCAGCCUUGACGGUAUCUGACCAGAAAGCCACGGCUAACUACGUGCCAGCCGCCGC
Molecule: ribosomal RNA, 525 nt
Filed under: uncultured bacterium
Lineage: Bacteria
Description: bacterial SSU rRNA
Rfam family: Bacterial small subunit ribosomal RNA
Source: RNAcentral